Molecule: ribosomal RNA, 301 nt
Filed under: uncultured bacterium
Lineage: Bacteria
Description: partial 16S ribosomal RNA
Rfam family: Bacterial small subunit ribosomal RNA
Source: RNAcentral
CAGUCGCCACGGUAAUACGUAGGGUGCGAGCGUUAAUCGGAAUUACUGGGCGUAAAGCGUGCGCAGGCGGUUCGUUAAGACAGAUGUGAAAUCCCCGGGCUUAACCUGGGAACUGCAUUUGAAACUGGCAGGCUAGAGUCUCGUAGAGGGGGGUAGAAUUCCAGGUGUAGCGGUGAAAUGCGUAGAGAUCUGGAGGAAUACCGGUGGCGAAGGCGGCCCCCUGGACAAAGACUGACGCUCAGGUGCGAAAGCGUGGGGAGCAAACAGGAUUAGAUACCCGAGUAGUCCCUGUCUCUUAUAC